RNAcentral lists this ribosomal RNA (447 nucleotides) under Streptococcus sanguinis. RNAcentral describes it as "bacterial SSU rRNA". It matches the Rfam family "Bacterial small subunit ribosomal RNA", at positions 28 to 465 of the family's 1533-position model. The record is from RNAcentral. Lineage: Bacteria; Bacillati; Bacillota; Bacilli; Lactobacillales; Streptococcaceae.
GACGAACGCUGGCGGCGUGCCUAAUACAUGCAAGUAGAACGCUGAAGAGAGGAGCUUGCUCUUCUUGGAUGAGUUGCGAACGGGUGAGUAACGCGUAGGUAACCUGCCUGGUAGCGGGGGAUAACUAUUGGAAACGAUAGCUAAUACCGCAUAAAAUUGAUUAUUGCAUGAUAAUUAAUUGAAAGAUGCAAUUGCAUCACUACCAGAUGGACCUGCGUUGUAUUAGCUAGUUGGUGAGGUAACGGCUCACCAAGGCGACGAUACAUAGCCGACCUGAGAGGGUGAUCGGCCACACUGGGACUGAGACACGGCCCAGACUCCUACGGGAGGCAGCAGUAGGGAAUCUUCGGCAAUGGGGGGAACCCUGACCGAGCAACGCCGCGUGAGUGAAGAAGGUUUUCGGAUCGUAAAGCUCUGUUGUAAGAGAAGAACGGGUGUGAGAGUGGA